UACGUAGGGCGCAAGCGUUGUCCGGAAUUAUUGGGCGUAAAGAGCUCGUAGGCGGCUUGUCACGUCGGGUGUGAAAGCCCGGGGCUUAACCCCGGGUCUGCAUUCGAUACGGGCUAGCUAGAGUGUGGUAGGGGAGAUCGGAAUUCCUGGUGUAGCGGUGAAAUGCGCAGAUAUCAGGAGGAACACCGGUGGCGAAGGCGGAUCUCUGGGCCAUUACUGGCGCUGAGGAGCGAAAGCGUGGGGAGCGAACAGG
This 253-nucleotide ribosomal RNA is filed under the name uncultured bacterium. RNAcentral's name for it is "partial 16S ribosomal RNA". It matches the Rfam family "Bacterial small subunit ribosomal RNA", at positions 524 to 776 of the family's 1533-position model. The record is from RNAcentral.